RNAcentral lists this ribosomal RNA (374 nucleotides) under uncultured organism. RNAcentral describes it as "partial 16S ribosomal RNA". It matches the Rfam family "Bacterial small subunit ribosomal RNA", at positions 527 to 896 of the family's 1533-position model. The record is from RNAcentral.
GUAGGUGGCAAGCGUUGUCCGGAAUUAUUGGGCGUAAAGCGCGCGCAGGUGGUUCUUUAAGUCUGAUGUGAAAGCCCACGGCUCAACCGUGGAGGGUCAUUGGAAACUGGAGAACUUGAGUACAGAAGAGGAAAGCGGAAUUCCACGUGUAGCGGUGAAAUGCGUAGAGAUGUGGAGGAACACCAGUGGCGAAGGCGGCUUUCUGGUCUGUAACUGACGCUGAGGCGCGAAAGCGUGGGGAGCAAACAGGAUUAGAUACCCUGGUAGUCCACGCCGUAAACGAUGAGUGCUAAGUGUUAGGGGGGUUUUCCGCCCCCCUUAGUGCUGCAGCUAACGCAUUAAGCACUCCGCCUGGGAGUACGGCCGCAAGGCUG